This 5845-nucleotide long non-coding RNA is filed under the name Marmota monax (woodchuck). The record is from RNAcentral. Lineage: Eukaryota; Metazoa; Chordata; Mammalia; Rodentia; Sciuridae.
UGUCCUGGGAAGCUUGUGGGCCAAGAGUGCACCUCUGAGGACCCUUAAGAAAGAACCCUGCCAGAAAGAUUCCCUGCUAGGGGAAGCCCCAGGAGAGGGAGAGAGAGGUCAGGCCAGGGACACCUCAAGUUGUCAGGGGCAAGGCCACAGAGGAGGAGUGGUGCCAUGCAGAGUGUCACACAGGGAGGGGGGCGCACCAAGGCCUCUUUGCCCUUUACAGUAACACCUCUCCUCCUAGAAGUAAGGGCCCCCUCCUCACCCAGGGAACUUUCUGGGAUCAAGCCUUUGGGGUAGGGACAGGAGAUGCUGCCAACAGGAUGAGAAAUCGAAGCUUUGAGUUAGACUGAGUUUAACUAGUUGAUGGGCCAGCAGUGGGAGGGAGGGGCCAGAGCCGGGCUGUGAGAACAAAGCCCUGGUUUCCUGCUUUCUCCCACUGGUCUGCAUCCAAUUUGCAGGCUAUGACUUUAAAUAAGGUCUCUGUUCCCUCAGGCUAUGUUGGGGGAGGUCUUCACAGGAAGGUCCCAUUCCUUUGGAUAGUUUUGUGGCAGGUACAGUUUGGGCCUAGAGGCAACACUGGUCUAUCUGUACUUGGGAGGCAUGAGGGUCAGUCCUGACCCUGCAUGUUGGUGAUCUGACCCAUCUCUUCUCCUCCCCUCUGGACUUAAGAGUGCCAUCUUAUUCACUUUGUGACCAUACAGUUUCCACUAGCCCUCAUUCAAUUCUUCUUGUUCAGAGAAUACUGUGACUCCUGAAGGAGGACCCCAAGACCUGGGUAGCCUCUCUUUGAAGAUACACUUCUGAUCCCACAAGAGUGGGAGACACGUGGACUGGGGUUGCAGGUUAGUGGAAGAGCACUUGCCUAGCAUGUGUGAGGUACUGGGUUUGAUUCUCAGCACCACAUAUAGAUAAAUAAAAUAAAGGUCCAUUGACAACUAAAAAAUAUUUUUUAAAAUAAAAUAAGAGUGGGAGGUAUGUGCUGCAGCUCCCUCUCAAGGAACUGGGAAAGUCUAAAGGUCUCAGCAGAAGUCCAUGCAACAUACUCUGUACCCAAGUACACUUGUCAGCUUCCCUGAGUUUGUGAAAAGACACCCUUAGCCAUCUUGGCAGGACCUGCAGCACCAUUUCAAGAGAGGACUGAUGAGAUGUCACUUGCCCCACUUCUCUGUGGCUCCACAUAUGGGGUGAACAGGAUAGACCACUAUUCCUCAACCUACCAGGCCACCCUGAGCCCCCACACCCCGCACCAGUUCAGUGCCCUCUAGUUUCCAGGGCACCAUAAACACCUCAAAGGUGUGUUCCUAUCAGUGUUUCUUUGGUUCACUCAGGGUAUCUAUGGAACUUUCAACAAGGUGUAGGUCUGAGGGUGGUCCAGAGGUCCAGCAAUCAUUGAUAGGUAACCUCCCUUCAAAAAGCUAAGGCUGGAUGGGGCCUGAGGCAUACAAAGUCAGCAAUUCAAAUGCCUAGACACAGAGGGCAUAGGUAAGGACCCUGAACUCCUUGGGGGAAGGAGGAGGGGAAGCUCAGGCAGGCAAAUUCUGUCCCCAGGCCCUUCAGGGCAUCGCAGGUAGCACAGUGACCUAAUACUUGCUAAGUAUGUGCAUUUCCCCAUUUCUCAGAAAACUGAGACCCUGAGAAGUGACUUGUUCAGGACACCUCAUGUAUGUGAUAAUGAAGGUCCAAAUUAAUCCCUCUGAGGCUGAACCAAACACUCCUUCCACAUGGGCUUCACCCUGUGGGGCCAUCAUGCAACAGGGCCACAGCAGCCUCCCUCCAGCCUCCCUCCUGCUGAGACCCAUGCCUCAGCCCCUGAAUGCCACAUGAGCCAUGAGCCUCACUAGGGCCUCAGCUUGACAGGGGACCUAAACUCACCUGCCAGCAGGCUCCAGAGGGCCUGUGUUCUAUCUGGGAACCCACAGAACACAGGGACAGGAGGCUUCCAAGGCCUAGGAGCAGAUCCUCCCAACCUGAGUCUGAGGCCUCCUGGGCCCAUGUGGCACAGCUCAGACAAAGAGGGUUGUGCCCCCAGAGGAAUGAAUCCAUGAUUAGUGAUAGCUUGGGGGUUCCUUUAUGCAGAAACUUGUUCCACAGUUCACUGUCCAGUAGCACUGUAUGCAUUUGUGUGUGUGUGUGUGUGCAUGUGCGCACGUGCAUGUGUGAACUAAAUAAAAGGUGCAGGAAGUCUGAUCUUAGCCAGCAGGCCCCCCAGAUCCUAGAUACUGUUUCUCCUGGAGACUGGGUUCACCCAUGGGCAAAGGAGAAGGGACCAGGCCUUGUUCCUCCCCUGGGGGAGGUCUUUAGAGACACCCCCUUCUCAGUAGCUCAGGUGCCUGGAUGUCAUCAGUAGGGUCAGCUUCUGGAGUCCACAAGGAUGGGUGAUUCCCCAAGCUGUGGUGACUAGGGUCUUCCAGACAGCGUCUAGCCAUCCUUACAACUGGCAGAACAAUUUCCUUGGUUUCCAACAACUUGAAAACCACAUGUGAUUUUCCACAGUCCCGGCUCUGCAGGCCUGGCUGCUGAGUGAGCAGAGUCCAUGCUGAAUUCCUUCCACUCACCGCAGGGCAGACAGCAGGCCCAGCUGUGGGGAGAUUCACUGGGAUGGGGGUCACCACAGCAAGGCAGGGGCGGACUUCCAGCACUGAUGAGUAAUUCUGCAGUCAGUAAAUCUGGGAAGAGGGCAUGUGACCACUUAAUGUAACAAUCAGCCCAGUGUUAAGUUACAAAGGAGGAGGCAUUCUUCAAAACAAGGUUGAGUGGCAAAAAUAGUUUAAUCCCCACUUCACAUCUUCAUCAAAAUUAACUCCAGAGGAUGGAAGAUAUCAAGGUUAGGGGAAAAAACCUCAAAUGUAGUAAAAGAAAAUAUGAGUCCGUGUUUAUAUUCUUGGUGGGGGAAGUUAUCUAAGGAAGGAUAGAGAAUUUUGAUUUCAUAAAAUUUUUGCCUUCUGUAUAAUAAAAAUACUCUGAAGAUAAAAUUUAAAAGCAGGGCUCGGGUCAUAGCUGUGGUAGAAUGUUUGCCUGGCAUGUGUGGGGCACUGGGUUCAAUUCUCAGCACCACAUAUGAAUAAAUAAAGGUCCAUCGACAACUACAAAAAAAUUUUUUUUUAAUUUUAAAAGCAAACAAAACACUGGAAAAGAAUCUGUAAUCCUUCCAUCUGAAAUAGCCUCUUGUAGCCAGGCACAAUGGCACAGACCUAUAAUCCCAGAGGCUCGGGAGGCUGAGGCAGAAAGCUCACUAGUUCAAAGCCCCCUCAGCUAAGCAACUCAGUGAGAUUCUAUCUCUAAAUAAAAUACAAAAUAGCAGGGCUGGGGUUGUGGCUCAGUGGUAGAGUGCUUGCCUCGUGUGUGUGUAUGUGUGACUGGGUUCAAUCCUCAGUACCACAUAAAAAUAAAUAAAUAAAAUAAAGGUAUUGUAUCCAUCUACAACUAAAAAAAAUUUUUUUUAAAAUGGUACAAAGAUUCACAGGUAAAAAUCCAGACACUUAUGCCUUGAUAAAGGAAAGCUGCUAAAUAAACUUCUUUAUAUUUUUUAAAACUAAUUUGACUAUAUUGUUCCUUUAAAAAGUGAUCUAGAGUGCUGCUUGCCUGGCAUGCAUGAGGCCCUGUGUUCUAUGCUCAGCAUUUCAAAAAGAAAAAAAAGUGAGCCAAGACUCAGUGGAAUACUGUGUGCUUAGCAUGCAUGAGGCCUUGGGUUCAAUCCCCAGCACCAAAAAAUAUGUAUAAAUAAAUAAGCUCACAAAAGGAGAAACAUAAAUGAGUAGGAAACAUGCAAAUGUUCUACCUCACUAAAAGUUGUAAAAGUUCAAAUUCAAAUGUACCCAAUACUGCUUUUUCCUUAAUUCUCAGUUAAAAAUCUCUCAAUAUAAGCAGUAAUGGGAGAUUACUGUCUGAGUACUACUAGUAACAGGGACCUUCACACUAUUUGGGUCAUCUUAUUCAAGGUGAUUUGAUUGAAAAGAGCAGAAGCCCUACAAAGCAGCUGAACCCCAAUCAGCCAUCUUGCUAAGUGACAGAAAAUCCGAUGUAAUAAUGACUAAAAUAAGGUAGAAACAUAUUUCUUGCUCACGUAACUAAAUUGAGGCAAGUAGUCUGAAGCUGGUAUGGUAGCCUAACAACCACCAGAGAUUCUAGCUCCUUCCAUUUUGUUGUUCCCCUAAGCUCCACAGAGAGCUUCUUUCUCAAGAGUACAAAAUAGCUAUUUGAGACCCAGCCAUCAUUGCAUCAUCCUAGCCAGCAGAAAGAAGGGAAGGGAAUAAUAUUAAUGUUCAACAUCUUCCUCUACAAACACUUUCUAGAAGCUCACACAAAACUCCAUGUUCACUCCGUUGGCCUUAGCCACAACUCUGUCACAGGCCAUGCCCAGCUACAAAGAAAGCUAGGAAGUAUGGUCUUUUUCUGAUGUUCUGGGCUCACUAAAUGUCAGGUGUUCUAUCCCUAAAGAAGGAGACAGAUACUGAGGAAUAAUUAACAGUCUUAGUUACAUAUGGUAUUCUCUUGCUUUUGUGUCUAGUAAGAGUGCUAAAAUCUUAGACCAGUGUAAAAAAAAAAGUCAAUAUUUGGAAGAGGAAACUGUGAAAGCUGAAAUCCCAGGAAAGUGUAAGAAUAAGAAAUCAAUGGUGGCAUUAGCAAGUUUGUAGCCAGUUUCUGAGUGAGGUAUUCAUAUCCUUGCCUGUUUGUCUGCAGACUCAGCCCGUAGCUCAGCCAAGGAAAGCAAGAAACAGGCACCAGCUUCAGGAAGGGAGGGGAUCCUAAAAGGCACCCAUCCCAUUUCCACAGCUCCUGCUGUUAGUGAGGGUGCCAGAAGGGCUGGGGAUGUAGUUCAGGGGUAGAGUAUUUGCCUAGAAUGCAUGAGGACCCUGGUUAAGUUUCCAGCACCACAAAAGAGAGAGAGAGAGAGAGAGAGAGAGAGGUGGGGAGCAGAAUGCCCCCCUAGUCUCUAGCUAUGACCUCUUCUAACAGCCACGCUUCUCCAAGGAGUUGUUUGCACUUGAAGUUUCCAAUUCCUCAGCCCCAGGCAUCUGUUCUUGCCCCUGGCAUCUGGACUCAGACCCAGGGACCACACAGGCAACCAGUCCUGCCCAGCCACUGCAGGCUUUCUUUGACAGGGUUAAGUCUAGGAUUGCCCCGUUUUUCUCCUCUCCCACCCCCAAGGUCAGCUCCUUUUUUCCUUAUGAAAAACCAGCCUCUACCUCAGAGCAAAGCCUGCCCAAAUAGGUCCCCAACUGAGGGAACUAUGAUUGGUUCCCAAGUUUCCAGACAAAGGGGGGAAUGAAAAACCAGCCUCUACCUCAGAGCAAAGCCUGUCCAAGGAAGGGACAUGACCUUUGUCCUUGGAAAGACCCACAGAGCUCUCCUAGGCACAUUCCCACCCUGCUAAGUUGUUUAUCUACAAAUAACAGGAGAGACCUGCUGCGCCAGGUGUCCCUGACUCAGUGGGGAUCCAUAGUAACCCCCUAGCAGCCACCAAUCAGCAUGAGACAGGGAAAUACCUGGGAUGCCAGAUGACCCUCCCAGUAGUUUAUGGUGGUUGAUAACAUGUUGGGAAACCAUGUAGUUCAGCACGUACACCCGUCUUGGCUUAAACCAAUCAGUUCAAAUGAAUCCCCCUCUUGUAGUAACCAAUCACCCCUACCCAACUUAUUCCUGUCAGUGAAUGUGCUAAUCAUGUCUUAGAGUUGUUAUUUGAUUUUCCCGUGGUGUAUGAUGAUUUGCUAAGAGAUGCUAUGAUGUAUGUGGGGGUCCCUGCCUUCUCCAAAGAAUGUAUAAAACAGCUGCAAACCCUGGGCUCGGGGCCUCUCAGCGUCACCAGUUGCUGUGUGUGCGCGGAGGACCCAGCUAGCUCGCAAUAAAC